RNAcentral lists this transfer RNA (66 nucleotides) under Chrysotus sp. Its description in RNAcentral is "tRNA-Phe". Lineage: Eukaryota; Metazoa; Arthropoda; Insecta; Diptera; Dolichopodidae. The record is from RNAcentral.
AUUCAAAUAGCUUAUAUUUAGAGUAUAACACUGAAGAUGUUAGGGAGAUUAUAUAAUCUUUGAGUA